This 74-nucleotide transfer RNA is filed under the name Vibrio phage phi 3. It matches the Rfam family "tRNA". Rfam says of the family: Transfer RNA (tRNA) molecules are approximately 80 nucleotides in length. Their secondary structure includes four short double-helical elements and three loops (D, anti-codon, and T loops). RNAcentral also lists the same sequence under 1 other name. The record is from Rfam by way of RNAcentral. Lineage: Duplodnaviria; Heunggongvirae; Uroviricota; Caudoviricetes; Demerecviridae.
GCGCCUUUAGCUUAGUUGGUUAGAGCAAACCCCUCAUAAGGGUGAGGUCGCUGGUUCAAGCCCAGCAAGGUGCA